This 245-nucleotide ribosomal RNA is filed under the name uncultured bacterium. RNAcentral describes it as "partial 16S ribosomal RNA". It matches the Rfam family "Bacterial small subunit ribosomal RNA", at positions 524 to 767 of the family's 1533-position model. The record is from RNAcentral.
GACAGAAUCCUCGAGCGUUACCCGGAUUUAUUGGGCGUAAAGGGUCCGUAGGUGGCGCAGUAAGUUUUGAGUUAAAACCCAUCGGCUUAACCUUUGGGGUGCUCAAAAUACUGCUGUGCUUGAGGGCGUUAGGGGUUAGCGGAACCGACGGAGUAGGGGUGAAAUCCGUUGAUAUCGUCGGGAACACCAAAAGCGAAGGCAGCUAACUAGGACGACCCUGACACUGAGGGACGAAAGCGUGGGGA